Molecule: ribosomal RNA, 138 nt
Filed under: uncultured eukaryote
Lineage: Eukaryota
Description: partial 18S ribosomal RNA
Rfam family: Eukaryotic small subunit ribosomal RNA
Source: RNAcentral
UGGUGGGUUGCCUUGUCAGGUUGAUUCCGGUAACGAACGAGACCUCAGCCUGCUAAAUAGUCAGCAUCGCACCUGCGGUGCGCCGACUUCUUAGAGGGACUAUUGGCGUUCAGCCAAUGGAAGUAUGAGGCGAUAACA